Non-coding RNA from Myodes glareolus (Bank vole), 697 nucleotides. The record is from RefSeq and is a predicted model, not a curated record. NCBI's taxonomy places the organism in Eukaryota, Metazoa, Chordata, Mammalia, Rodentia, Cricetidae.
UUCGGUAGGAAUUAGCUCCAGAGAAGCUCAGUAUACAAUGGAGGCACAUCUCCAACCACUUCGAUGCAACUCUGAGAGUAAACCUGCUUACUACCCAGGGUGCUCAGUGUGAUAAAGGCUUCCACUACAGUCUCUGAUCAUCGCUACACCCUGGGGUUCCAGAUCAUGGUUCCGGGGAGCCUCUUCUUUCAGCUGAGGUUGAGCAUGCUACCAGCCAAAACGCAAUGUUAGCUGGGGUCUCUGGAGAGGAAAAGCAAAGGAUUUGACUGGCAACUGUCCUCUCCACUUUGAUUCCUGGUCAUGGCGUAGGAAAGUGCAACUCACAAUGACAACUUCCUGUGUGCCCUUUCUCCUCUGUGUCCAUGGAGUCUACUUCCAGGUUUAAGACAGGUCUUGCAGAACUCUUGAAGGACAGCAAAUGUACAAAGGGAAUAAGAAGAAAUCCAAAAGAUAGGAAUGCAGAAAGCCAGAAGAAGAAAAUGAAACAUAGACAACAGACUGAAGAUCUAAACAUGAAAGCGGGGAGGACGUGACAAAAGACGGAGAGAAAGAGGGAGAACAGGAAAGUAGGAUGGAAAGAAGGAUGAAAAAGCAAAGAAGGACUGACAAAUUUAUGACCUCUAGGUUGAUUUUCUGGGGACGCUAAAGCAGAGACCAGACCCCUGGGCAGUAGCUGAUUCUAGAAAAUGAAGUAUUU